This 468-nucleotide ribosomal RNA is filed under the name uncultured bacterium. Its description in RNAcentral is "partial 16S ribosomal RNA". It matches the Rfam family "Bacterial small subunit ribosomal RNA", at positions 28 to 507 of the family's 1533-position model. The record is from RNAcentral.
GACGAACGCUGGCGGCGUGCUUAACACAUGCAAGUCGAACGGAAAGGCCCUGCUUUUGUGGGGUGCUCGAGUGGCGAACGGGUGAGUAACACGUGAGUAACCUGCCCUUGACUUUGGGAUAACUUCAGGAAACUGGGGCUAAUACCGGAUAGGUGCUCCUGCUGCAUGGUGGGGGUUGGAAAGUUUCGGCGGUUGGGGAUGGACUCGCGGCUUAUCAGCUUGUUGGUGGGGUAGUGGCUUACCAAGGCUUUGACGGGUAGCCGGCCUGAGAGGGUGACCGGCCACAUUGGGACUGAGAUACGGCCCAGACUCCAACGGGAGGCAGCAGUGGGGAGUAUUGCACAAUGGGCGGAAGCCUGAUGCAGCAACGCCGCGUGCGGGAUAACGGCCUUCGGGUUGUAAACCGCUUUCGCCUGUGACGAAGCGUGAGUGACGGUAAUAGGUAAAGAAGCACCGGAUAACUACGUG